GAUGAAGAACGCAGCGAAAUGCGAUAAGUAAUGUGAAUUGCAGAAUUCAGUGAAUCAUCGAAUCUUUGAACGCACCUUGCGCCCUUUGGCCAUUCCGAAGGGCAUGCCUGUUUGAGUAUCAUGAACACCUCAACUCUCAUGGCUUGCCAUGAUGAGCUUGGACUUUGGGGGUCUUGCUGGCUUGUGGUCGGCUCCUCUCAAAUGAAUCAGCUUGCCAGUGUUUGGUGGCAUCACAAGUGUGAUAACUAUCUGCGCUCGUGGUUUCCAUCAGAUAACCUCCAGUGAUGGAGGUUCGCUGGAGCUCAUAAAUGUCUCUCCUAAGCGAGGACAGCUCUUUUAAUGUUUGAUCUCAAAUCAGGUAGGACUACCCGCUGAACUUAAGCAUAUCAAUAAGCGGAGGA
This 401-nucleotide unclassified non-coding RNA is filed under the name soil metagenome. RNAcentral's name for it is "partial contains 5.8S ribosomal RNA, internal transcribed spacer 2, and large subunit ribosomal RNA". The stretch from base 1 to 121 matches the Rfam family "5.8S ribosomal RNA", at positions 35 to 154 of the family's 154-position model. The record is from RNAcentral.